AUUGAACGCUGGCGGCAGGCCUAACACAUGCAAGUCGAGCGGAUGAAGGGAGCUUGCUCCUGGAUUCAGCGGCGGACGGGUGAGUAAUGCCUAGGAAUCUGCCUGGUAGUGGGGGAUAACGUCCGGAAACGGGCGCUAAUACCGCAUACGUCCUGAGGGAGAAAGUGGGGGAUCUUCGGACCUCACGCUAUCAGAUGAGCCUAGGUCUGAUUAGCUAGUUGGUGGGGUAAAGGCCUACCAAGGCGACGAUCCGUAACUGGUCUGAGAGGAUGAUCAGUCACACUGGAACUGAGACACGGUCCAGACUACUACGGGAGGCAGCAGUGGGGAAUAUUGGACAAUGGGCGAAAGCCUGAUCCAGCCAUGCCGCGUGUGUGAAGAAGGUCUUCUGAUUGUAAAGCACUUUAAGUUGGGAGGAAGGGCAGUAAGUUAAUACCUUGCUGUUUUGACGUUACCAACAGAAUAAGCACCGGCUAACUUCGUG
This 484-nucleotide ribosomal RNA is filed under the name uncultured bacterium. RNAcentral's name for it is "partial 16S ribosomal RNA". It matches the Rfam family "Bacterial small subunit ribosomal RNA", at positions 30 to 507 of the family's 1533-position model. The record is from RNAcentral.